GGCACCAGUUUAAAGUCCAUCCACUUGAAGAUUUCUGGCUUGACCCCUGACACAACCACAGCUGUACACAUCACUGAUACCACAGGAACUGCUGUAUGUGUGCGUUUGUCUCUUAUCAAUCAUGAUUAGAUUUGGGAGUGGAGAUCUUUCCAGGGCAAGAUCUGCGCACAUAUCAGGUGGUGUUGCAGUAUAAAUUACAGGAGGCAGCAGUCCUUUCCAGCUUAUUCUGGACAUCCUACUGAAAGAUUAACAUAAGAAAAGUUUUCCAGGUCUGUGGUGAAUCCUCAGGGGAGGACGCCAUGGAGCCGGGUACAACACUAAUGGAGAGGAGGUGGAGUUGAGAUGCUGCUCCCAAGGGCAGAACAUCUGGUCUGGUGCAACUCAGAGGAGGAACUCUGCAUUUCCUAGAGUCAUCUUCUUUGUUUUGUGCUAGCUGACCAGAUGCACAGACACCAGUCAUGUACUGAAGUGUUAUGCAAAGAGCUGAAUGCGAAAAUGAUGCGUACAGUAUAUGACUGUAUAUGAAAGUUAUGCGAAUAUGCACAUGAACUAUGGAUUACCCCCUUUUUGGUUUCUGUGGGCUUGGUUUCAGUUGGUUGGGGGACCAACAGAUUAAAACCUUCCUGUGAACAUUAAAAUAAAUGUAUGCAGAAAUGUCAUAUGAAACAUCAAAAUAAAAGCGUCUUUAGACAAGUAACUGCUGUAGCAUUCUCUUUACUGUCAAACCGAAACUGAUGAGGAGAGGGAGGAGUUUAUUGAGGAAAUGUUGUAGAGUAUUUAAACGAGAGGAAGCAGAGACUGGUCCUUUCUAUCCUGCAGACUCUCAAGUCUGAGACGGAGCGGAGAUGAUCUGCUUGUAUGCUGUGAUCUAGUGUGCAGUCUGCUGUCACUAGAUGACUGCACACGAGUUGAGACGUCACGCUGCCUAAGGAUCUCUUUCGAUGCUUGCACUUAUUAUUUUAUUUUGAGGAGGAGAGGAGGAGAACCCAACUGCCAAGGGUUUCGGGCACUCGGGUCCGCUGCCCUGUUCUAGUGCAUUCUCUGGCAACACUGGAUCUCUGGCCGGGGUCCAGCGGACCUGCAGUGAACAGCGCCAGGUCUAUGACCCGCUGACGAAGCACCAGGAAACUAGAAGCAACCAAAUCACACAAAAACACAGCCGACACCCUUACCCCAUUUUUCCCUUUGGUCGGCUUCUGGUUGUCUGUUGCUUGGUUGGCAGGCUGUGGGGAUGGCCUGCUAGAAAAACAACCAGUUUUUCAUUUUAUUUUAUGAUGGCUGAGCGCAACUCUUCCCAGAAAAAUCAAUAAAAAUGGAAAAACCUGAAACUGAAA
Molecule: long non-coding RNA, 1334 nt
Organism: Carassius auratus (goldfish)
Lineage: Eukaryota; Metazoa; Chordata; Actinopteri; Cypriniformes; Cyprinidae
Exons: 6
Source: RefSeq, a predicted model, not a curated record